Choloepus didactylus (southern two-toed sloth) is the source of this 270-nucleotide long non-coding RNA. RefSeq lists it as uncharacterized. The record is from RefSeq and is a predicted model, not a curated record. The transcript has 3 exons. Lineage: Eukaryota; Metazoa; Chordata; Mammalia; Pilosa; Megalonychidae.
UAUUGAUUCUCAUUGCAUGGGGUGGAGAAGAAACCACCAGAACAGAUGUCUCCUCACUGCAGAGAUGAGAAAGAGUUCUCUGACAAGCAAGGGGAUUACAAAGACGCAUUUGAAUCAUCCAACCCCAUAAUGAAUAUGGAAGAAUGCAGAAACAAGGCUAGACAGAUGUCUUAUUGACUAUGGCCACACUUACUCUGAGGGAUUAGGAUCUAUUCUUCAGCCUUCUCUUUGCCCUGGGAAGCAAGCCUGUACAGACCAUAAGAAGUUCUC